ACGAACGCUGGCGGCGUGCUUAACACAUGCAAGUCGAACGGAAAGGCCCUGCUUUUGUGGGGUGCUCGAGUGGCGAACGGGUGAGUAACACGUGAGUAACCUGCCCUUGACUUUGGGAUAACUUCAGGAAACUGGGGCUAAUACCGGAUAGGAGCUCCUGCUGCAUGGUGGGGGUUGGAAAGUUUCGGCGGUUGGGGAUGGACUCGCGGCUUAUCAGCUUGUUGGUGGGGUAGUGGCUUACCAAGGCUUUGACGGGUAGCCGGCCUGAGAGGGUGACCGGCCACAUUGGGACUGAGAUACGGCCCAGACUCCUACGGGAGGCAGCAGUGGGGAAUAUUGCACAAUGGGCGGAAGCCUGAUGCAGCAACGCCGCGUGCGGGAUGACGGCCUUCGGGUUGUAAACCGCUUUCGCCUGUGACGAAGCGUGAGUGACGGUAAUGGGUAAAGAAGGACCGGCUAACUACGUG
Molecule: ribosomal RNA, 467 nt
Filed under: uncultured bacterium
Lineage: Bacteria
Description: partial 16S ribosomal RNA
Rfam family: Bacterial small subunit ribosomal RNA
Source: RNAcentral